GCAAGUCGAACGAGAACGUCCCGGCUUGCCGGGAUUAGUAAAGUGGCGCACGGGUGAGUAACACGUGAGUAAUUUCCCUCUAAGCUUGGGAUAACAUUGCGAAAGCGGUGCUAAUACCGAAUAAGACCACGGUAUCACAGGAUACAGUGGGAAAAGAUGGCCUCUGUAUAUGCUAUCACUUGGAGAUAAGCUCGCGGACCAUUAGCUUGUUGGUAGGGUAAUGGCCUACCAAGGCUAAGAUGGUUAGCUGGUCUGAGAGGAUGAUC
Molecule: ribosomal RNA, 266 nt
Filed under: uncultured bacterium
Lineage: Bacteria
Description: partial 16S ribosomal RNA
Rfam family: Bacterial small subunit ribosomal RNA
Source: RNAcentral